Molecule: transfer RNA, 89 nt
Filed under: Clostridia bacterium
Lineage: Bacteria; Bacillati; Bacillota; Clostridia
Description: tRNA-Ser
Rfam family: tRNA
About the family: Transfer RNA (tRNA) molecules are approximately 80 nucleotides in length. Their secondary structure includes four short double-helical elements and three loops (D, anti-codon, and T loops).
Source: RNAcentral
GGAAGUGUAUCGAAGCGGUCAUAACGAGGCGGUCUUGAAAACCGUUUGUCCACCCGGGCACGGGGGUUCGAAUCCCUCCACUUCCGCCA